UAGGGAAUCUUCGGCAAUGGACGAAAGUCUGACCGAGCAACGCCGCGUGAGUGAAGAAGGUUUUCGGAUCGUAAAACUCUGUUGGUAGAGAAGAACGUUGGUGAGAGUGGAAAGCUCAUCAAGUGACGGUAACUACCCAGAAAGGGACGGCUAACUACGUGCCAGCAGCCGCGGUAAUACGUAGGUCCCGAGCGUUGUCCGGAUUUAUUGGGCGUAAAGCGAGCGCAGGUGGUUUAUUAAGUCUGGUGUAAAAGGCAGUGGCUCAACCAUUGUAUGCAUUGGAAACUGGUAGACUUGAGUGCAGGAGAGGAGAGUGGAAUUCCAUGUGUAGCGGUGAAAUGCGUAGAUAUAUGGAGGAACACCGGUGGCGAAAGCGGCUCUCUGGCCUGUAACUGACACUGAGGCUCGAAAGCGUGGGGAGCAAACAGGAUUAGAUACCCUGGUAGUCCACGCCGUAAACGAUGAGUGCUAGAUGUAGGGAGCUAUAAGCUCUCUGUAUCGCAGCUAACGCAAUAAGCACUCCGCCUGGGGAGUACGACCGCAAGGUUGAAAC
Molecule: ribosomal RNA, 553 nt
Filed under: uncultured bacterium
Lineage: Bacteria
Description: partial 16S ribosomal RNA
Rfam family: Bacterial small subunit ribosomal RNA
Source: RNAcentral